This 1883-nucleotide ribosomal RNA is filed under the name Ceratiomyxella tahitiensis. RNAcentral's name for it is "SSU rRNA". It matches the Rfam family "Eukaryotic small subunit ribosomal RNA". The record is from RNAcentral. Lineage: Eukaryota; Evosea; Variosea; Fractovitellida; Schizoplasmodiidae.
UCCUGCCAGUAGUCAUAUGCUUGUCUUAAAGAUUAAGCCAUGCAUGUCUAAGUAUAAGCAUUUAUACAGCGAAACUGCGAAUGGCUCAUUAAAUCAGUUAUAGUUUAUUUGAUAAUACCUUUACUACUUGGAUAACCGUAGUAAUUCUAGAGCUAAUACAUGCUAAAGGGCACAUCGCAAGGUGUGCUGUAUUUAUUAGAUAAAAAACCAAUGCAGGGGGCAACUCCUGGUUAUUGUUGAUUCAUAAUAACUUGUCGAAUCGCAUGGUCUCGUACCGGCGAUGAUUCAUUCAAAUUUCUGCCCUAUCAACUUUCGAUGGUAGUGUAGUGGACUACCAUGGUUGUAACGGGUGACGGAGAAUUAGGGUUCGGUUCCGGAGAGGGCGCCUGAGAGAUGGCGACCACUUCUAAGGAAGGCAGCAGGCGCGCAAAUUACCCAAUGGCAAUACGCCGAGGUAGUGACAAUAAAUAACAAUACAGGACCUGACAAGGUCUUGUAAUUGGAAUGAGUACAAUUUAAAUCCCUUAACGAGGAACAAUUGGAGGGCAAGUCUGGUGCCAGCAGCCGCGGUAAUUCCAGCUCCAAUAGCGUAUAUUAAAGUUGUUGCAGUUAAAAAGCUCGUAGUCGGAUGUUGGGGUGAAUCCGGCCCGGUCUGCCGGGACGGUGUGUACUGGCCGGUUCACCCUUCCUUCUGGUUAUUGCUUCCUUCUGCUCUUAACUGAGUGGGAGGAUAAGCUCCAGAUCGUUUACUUUGAAAAAAUUAGAGUGUUUAAAGCAGGCUACAAUAUGCCUUUUGAAUAUUUUAGCAUGGGAUAAUAGAAUAGGACUUUAUGCCUAUUUUGUUGGUUUCUAGGUGUAGAGUAAUGAUUAAUAGAGAUAGUUGGGGGUAUUCAUAUUUAAUUGUCAGAGGUGAAAUUCUUGGAUUUAUGAAAGAUGAACUUCUGCGAAAGCAUUUAUCAAGGAUGUUUUCAUUGAUCAAGAACGAAAGUUAGGGGAUCGAAGACGAUCAGAUACCGUCGUAGUCUUAACUAUAAACUUUGCCGACCAGGGAUCGGGAGACGUUACAUGGAUGACUCCCCCAGCACCUUGCGAGAAAUCACAAGUCUUUGGGUUCCGGGGGGAGUAUGGUCGCAAGGCUGAAACUUAAAGGAAUUGACGGAAGGGCACCACCAGGAGUGGAGCCUGCGGCUUAAUUUGACUCAACAAGGGAAAACUCACCGGGUCCAGACAUAGUAAGGAUUGACAGAUUGAGAGCUCUUUCUUGAUUCUAUGGGUGGUGGUGCAUGGCCGUUCUUAGUUGGUGGAGUGAUUUGUCUGGUUAAUUCCGUUAACGAACGAGACCUCAGCCUGCUAAAUAGUUACGUUAACCCUUCUUAAUUCGGGUGAAUCGUUUGUCAUGUAGGGUGGUGAGCAAUCAUUCGUUCUGCAUACUUGCGUGGAUCCUUGAUGGGUUGAUGGAUAUACUUCUUAGAGGGACUAUUAGUAUCUAGCUAAUGGAAGUUUGAGGCAAUAACAGGUCUGUGAUGCCCUUAGAUGUCUCGGGCUGCACGCGCGCUACACUGACGAAUUCAACGAGUUUAACACCUUGGUCGAUGGGCCUGGGUAAUCUUUUGAAAUUUCGUCGUGCUGGGGAUAGAUCAUUGCAAUUAUUGAUCUUCAACGAGGAAUUCCUAGUAAGCGCAAGUCAUCAGCUUGCGUUGAUUACGUCCCUGCCCUUUGUACACACCGCCCGUCGCUCCUACCGAUUGAAUGAUCCGAUGAAAUCUCCGGAUGGUGAUGCAUAACUGUGGGGGCAACCUUACAGUAGUAUCGUCAGAAGUUGCUUAAACCUUAUCAUUUAGAGGAAGGAGAAGUCGUAACAAGGUCUCCGUAGGUGAACCUGC